ACUUUGACUUGGGGAAAAUUGAUUGUGAAAAUAUCCAGAAAUUCCUUUAAAAAUUGCGUUUUAAAUCGCGUAAAUAACUAUAAAGCUCUCGAAAUUCACCAAACACCAGCAGUAAUCAAAACAUCCCUAGAAAUUAAAAGAGAACAGCCGGAAUAUUUCAUCAAAGUUAGAACGUCAAAAGCCCCAAAAUCAUCACCAAGACCACCACCACCACAACCAGCGUCAAAAAUCAACAAUAGCAACAACAAUUGACAAACAGGAACGACGUGAAGUGAAUGCAUUCAGUGCGAUUGGACAACGAAAAGAGAUAAGCCGACAUUGAGCAAAAAAGAGUGCCGUCGUCAACUUACACAGGUCAUAUCAAACAUACAAAAUUUUCAUCAUCACGUCAAGCGUCAAUUUGUGUGCUUCAGACCAGUUUUCCGCAACGCGAAGCUAAGCAUAUCAUUUGAUUGCCAUUGGAUUUGUCCUGCCCGCCGUCGUCCUUUGUCUGAACUUUAAAGGAUACCUAUUCACUCAUACUGGUGGUACGAGCCCAACAGUGUCAACAUAACUAGAGAAACUGUUUUUCGUCGAGCGAAAUUCGUUCAUAACUGACUGGCUUUUACGGCAACAACAACAACAACAACAAGGAAAUCCAGCAAUUUGUGAAGAUUCGAGGAGUGUUUUUGGCAAUCGCCAGAGACUAAUCUCUAUUAUAAUAUAUACCUAAACAAUACCGCAAUAUUUUAUUAUAAGCAACAACAACGAAGCAUUGCACUGCACCAGUAGUAGCGGUGGUGAUCGAAUAAAGUACUCAGAGAAUAAAUUCCAGCGAAUGUGACAACAAUAAAAACAACAUCAGCAGCGGCAGCAAAAUCAGCGGUCGAAAUAAUUCGAAAAUAGUCAUAAUUGUGUAAAGAAAAAGAUACACAAGUGUGUAUUUAUGUACAACACAGCCAGACGCCCCGCACUACACUGCACAUCGCACAUUUUGGACCGUCGUUUAUUUGCUCGUUAGUACAUAAUUUACUCGUUGAGGUUUCCCGACGAACGUGUUUAUUAGCACAGCUGUAUCGCUGCAGAAGAAGAAGAAGCACUCGAUGAGUCUGCACAAGUAGCUGAAUUAUCAAAUGAUUCCGAUGCACCAUUGAAACCGAAC
RNAcentral lists this unclassified non-coding RNA (1141 nucleotides) under Rhagoletis pomonella (apple maggot). Its description in RNAcentral is "chromodomain-helicase-DNA-binding protein Mi-2 homolog, transcript variant X2". The record is from RNAcentral. Lineage: Eukaryota; Metazoa; Arthropoda; Insecta; Diptera; Tephritidae.